GAUGAACGCUGACAGAAUGCUUAACACAUGCAAGUCAACUUGAACUUCGGUUUGGGUGGCGGACGGGUGAGUAACGCGUAAAGAACUUGCCUCACAGAUAGGGACAACAUUUGGAAACGAAUGCUAAUACCUGAUAUUAUGAUUAUAUGGUAUCGUAUAAUUAUGAAAGCUAUAUGCGCUGUGAGAGAGCUUUGCGUCCCAUUAGCUAGUUGGAGAGGUAACGGCUCACCAAGGCGAUGAUGGGUAGCCGGCCUGAGAGGGUGAUCGGCCACAAGGGGACUGAGACACGGCCCUUACUCCUACGGGAGGCAGCAGUGGGGAAUAUUGGACAAUGGACCAAGAGUCUGAUCCAGCAAUUCUGUGUGCACGAUGAAGUUUUUCGGAAUGUAAAGUGCUUUCAGUUGGGAAGAAAAAAAUGACGGUACCAACAGAAGAAGUGACGGCUAAAUACGUG
Molecule: ribosomal RNA, 454 nt
Filed under: uncultured bacterium
Lineage: Bacteria
Description: partial 16S ribosomal RNA
Rfam family: Bacterial small subunit ribosomal RNA
Source: RNAcentral